GUAUUAAAGGUCCCGCCUGCCCAGUGAAACAAUUUUUAACGGCCGCGGUAUUCUAACCGUGCAAAGGUAGCGUAAUCACUUGUCUUCUAAAUAAAGACUAGUAUGAACGGCUAAAUGAGGGCAGACCUGUCUCCUAUGACCAAUCAGUGAAACUGAUUUUCCAGUACAAAAGCUGGAAUAUGCACAUAAGACGAGAAGACCCUGUGGAGCUUCAAACCAAGUACUACCUAACCAAGCCUAGUACAAGGUUUUAAGUUGGGGCGACUUCGGAACUAAACAAAACUUCCAAGCACAGGAGUACUAAACUCCUCCUUAAGGCCAACAAGCCGAAACAUAUAAAUUGACCCAGUCACACUGACCAACGAACCAAGUUACCCCAGGGAUAACAGCGCUAUCUUCUUCAAGAGUCCAUAUCGACAAGAAGGUUUACGACCUCG
Molecule: ribosomal RNA, 437 nt
Filed under: Subdoluseps herberti (Herberts supple skink)
Lineage: Eukaryota; Metazoa; Chordata; Lepidosauria; Squamata; Scincidae
Description: partial 16S ribosomal RNA
Rfam family: Bacterial large subunit ribosomal RNA
Source: RNAcentral